RNAcentral lists this ribosomal RNA (292 nucleotides) under uncultured bacterium. RNAcentral describes it as "partial 16S ribosomal RNA". It matches the Rfam family "Bacterial small subunit ribosomal RNA", at positions 505 to 796 of the family's 1533-position model. The record is from RNAcentral.
GUGUCAGCCGCCGCGGUAAUACGGAGGGGGCCAGCGUUGUUCGGAAUCAUUGGGCGUAAAGGGCGCGUAGGCGGCCGAUCAAGUCGAACGUGAAAUCUCCCGGCUCAACCGGGAACCUGCGUCCGAUACUGCUCGGCUCGAGUCCCGGAGAGGGUAGUGGAAUUCCCAGUGUAGCGGUGAAAUGCGUAGAUACUGGGAGGAACACCGGUGGCGAAGGCGGCUACCUGGACGGGUACUGACGCUGAGGCGCGAGAGCUGGGGGAGCAAACAGGAUUAGAAACCCGCGUAGUCC